UGCCAGCAGCCGCGGUAAUACGAAGGGACCUAGCGUAGUUCGGAAUUACUGGGCUUAGAGUUCGUAGGUGGUUGAAAAAGUUGGUGGUGAAAUCCCAGAGCUUAACUCUGGAACUGCCAUCAAAACUUUUCAGCUAGAGUUUGAUAGAGGAAAGCAGAAUUUCUAGUGUAGAGGUGAAAUUCGUAGAUAUUAGAAAGAAUACCAAUUGCGAAAGCAGAUUACUAACAAUUAACUGACGCUGAGGGACGAAGGCGUGGGUAGCGAACAGGAUUAGAUA
Molecule: ribosomal RNA, 277 nt
Filed under: uncultured bacterium
Lineage: Bacteria
Description: partial 16S ribosomal RNA
Rfam family: Bacterial small subunit ribosomal RNA
Source: RNAcentral